RNAcentral lists this transfer RNA (74 nucleotides) under Lacicoccus qingdaonensis. RNAcentral describes it as "Salinicoccus qingdaonensis tRNA_Arg_CCT". It matches the Rfam family "tRNA". Rfam says of the family: Transfer RNA (tRNA) molecules are approximately 80 nucleotides in length. Lineage: Bacteria; Bacillati; Bacillota; Bacilli; Caryophanales; Salinicoccaceae. The record is from RNAcentral.
GUCCCGGUAGCUCAGCUGGAUAGAGCAAUGGCCUCCUAAGCCAUAGGUCGGGGGUUCGAACCCCUCCCGGGACG